GUCUAUAGCCAUGCCACCCUGAACAAGUCCAAUAUCUGAUCUCGGAAGCUAAGCAGAGUCAGAUCUGGCUGGUUAGUACUUGGAUAGGAGACCACCUAGGAAGACCAAGUGCUGUAGUCA
RNAcentral lists this ribosomal RNA (120 nucleotides) under Pteropus alecto (black flying fox). The record is from RNAcentral. Lineage: Eukaryota; Metazoa; Chordata; Mammalia; Chiroptera; Pteropodidae.